AUGCAAUAGCCUGCGUGCAGUCCCAGACUCCAAAGGAAGUAGUCCCUACUUCCUUUGGAGUCUGGGACUGCACGCAGGCUA
Non-coding RNA from Paramuricea clavata, 81 nucleotides. The record is from the annotation of a GenBank genome assembly. NCBI's taxonomy places the organism in Eukaryota, Metazoa, Cnidaria, Anthozoa, Malacalcyonacea, Plexauridae.